GGGGAAGGGUAGCUUGCUACCUGACCUAGCGGCGGACGGGUGAGUAAUGCUUAGGAAUCUGCCUAUUAGUGGGGGACAACAUUCCGAAAGGAAUGCUAAUACCGCAUACGCCCUACGGGGGAAAGCAGGGGAUCUUCGGACCUUGCGCUAAUAGAUGAGCCUAAGUCAGAUUAGCUAGUUGGUGGGGUAAAGGCCUACCAAGGCGACGAUCUGUAGCGGGUCUGAGAGGAUGAUCCGCCACACUGGGACUGAGACACGGCCCAGACUCCUACGGGAGGCAGCAGUGGGGAAUAUUGGACAAUGGGCGAAAGCCUGAUCCAGCCAUGCCGCGUGUGUGAAGAAGGCCUUUUGGUUGUAAAGCACUUUAAGCGAGGAGGAGGCUACUGAGAUUAAUACUCUUGGAUAGUGGACGUUACUCGCAGAAUAAGCACCGGCUAACUCUGUGCCAGCAGCCGCGGUAAUACAGAGGGUGCGAGCGUUAAUCGGAUUUACUUGGGCGU
This 500-nucleotide ribosomal RNA is filed under the name uncultured bacterium. Its description in RNAcentral is "bacterial SSU rRNA". It matches the Rfam family "Bacterial small subunit ribosomal RNA", at positions 68 to 561 of the family's 1533-position model. The record is from RNAcentral.